This is a small nuclear RNA of Suncus etruscus (white-toothed pygmy shrew), 107 nucleotides long. The record is from RefSeq and is a predicted model, not a curated record. Lineage: Eukaryota; Metazoa; Chordata; Mammalia; Eulipotyphla; Soricidae.
GUGCUCACUUCAGUAGAACAUAUACUAAAAUUGGAAUGAUACAGAGAAGAUUUGGACAGCCCCUGCACAAGGAUGACACGCAAAUUCAUGAAGCGUUCCAUAUUUAA